Molecule: long non-coding RNA, 1650 nt
Organism: Pelobates fuscus (common spadefoot toad)
Lineage: Eukaryota; Metazoa; Chordata; Amphibia; Anura; Pelobatidae
Exons: 3
Source: RefSeq, a predicted model, not a curated record
GGUGUUAAGUACACUCUCCCUGCCCUUGGAUACACAGUUCCUCAUUUGAUAAACAUCUCGCAUGACUGUUUAAUGUGCACUGUACGUUAAUAGCAGCACAGUUGACUUUCAGUUUCUUUAGAUCUGAGGCUGGAAUGGGUAACCUUCUUUUCAAAUUGCCACGAACUAAGUAUUGCUAAGCCAGAAUAAGAUGCCUACAUCAAUACUGCGUAAAAGGUCACCUGACAGUAAUUAUGCAAGUGAAACACAAAAAUCUCAAAGACGAGUGCAUUUUACAGAACCCGAAGCAAUUAUUAUACCUGUAAGAAACCAUCACCACACCUCAAGUUUGCUCCUGCUCUUGAUUAUCACUGUUUGCAUUUUCAUUUUCGCAGUGGCCACAAUCUUGUAUUCUCAUCACAUGCAGAUGGGUUUUCGCUCAUUCAAGUCCAAGUUUCUAAUCUUUACUCUUCAUGUAAAACACAAUGCAGGAUUUAUUUGGAAUCUUUGGAGGAAACAAUAGAAAAAAUACACGAGUGAACACGUGAAGAGCUUGAUGGAAAACACAGUCUAUUUAAGCUGAGGAAUUCUGCGACAUCGGAGAGAUAAUGAAAGAAAAAGGGAUUGUGUGCGCUAUACAAUGUCAACUCAUCUGCUGGUGAAGAAAUUAAAUCAAGACUCUGCCAGAAGACAAAAAAACAUAUUUCUGUUUCUGACAAGUUAUGGAAAUUGUUCAUUUUAAUUAGAGCGCAAAGAACCUUUGGAAUCAAUAAUGAGGAUUAACCAACCAGAUUAGAUAUUCGUCAAAGUCACCCCUAAGUACUACUAAAGAUGCAAAAAUAGAGGCAGGGCAUGGGUGUAAAAUAGACGAAAAAUGAGCUAACAUCGGCACAAUAUGAUGCGAAGCAGAGAUAAAUCAAAUUAUAGGAUAUAUGUUUUUGUUACUAGACAAAAUCCGUGGAUACGCCGGCUCACACCGAGAACCAUAUAUGAAGUAGAUGCAAUCCAUGUUAGAAUAAAACAUAACUUUAUUUGAGAUGGUCUAAGAACAAAGAAAAUGUGGGCACAUAGCAGUGCAAAACCAAAGGAAGCAUAUUCCAACGCGUUUCACGCAACAAGGCACUUAAUCUUAUCAUAUCAUUGGCAUAUGGUUCGUAGGAAGAUGACACUGAUAUUUGAAUUGGAAGCGUUAUCUUGCAUCUAUAUGUGAUGUAUAAAUAUAUCCAGUAAAUGUGGAGUUGUGGAAGUUGACCGCUGACUUGCAAAAUAUAGCUCAAACAAGUCAAAUUGCCUAGCUUCCAGCUAUUUUAGACCAGAGUUUUCAAAUGAGUUUCAAUUCAUCAAUCAUAGCUUACUGAUAAAUUCCUGCACAAGUCCGUUGUAAGACUGAUUGCCACUAUGUGACGUACAUUUGCUUUUUUUCCGGAUAAGUGGCCACAAAUGGUUCUAGCCAAAAGAGUUAAUAAAAAUAUAAAGCAGAUAACUGCUCUAUGAAUACAUUUAGUUUUUCAUUAUCUUUCUUUCCUUUUUUGCUUACACCUUCCGUUAGUUUUGGUACCAUUCCAAAAUUGUUUUAUGCACAACCUCCUAGGUUGUCCAUGAGUCGAUUGUAAAGUACUAGUUUAAAGAGUUAGCAACCUGUUCAUUUUUCCCUAACAUGGGAAAAUUAAA